GGUCCGGUAGCUCAACAGGCGAGAGCGUCGGCCUUAUAAGCCGAAGGUUCUGGGUUCGAGUCCCAGCCGGACUA
Molecule: transfer RNA, 74 nt
Filed under: Acidobacteriota bacterium
Lineage: Bacteria; Pseudomonadati; Acidobacteriota
Description: Acidobacteria bacterium tRNA-Ile
Rfam family: tRNA
About the family: Transfer RNA (tRNA) molecules are approximately 80 nucleotides in length.
Source: RNAcentral